GAUGAACGCUGGCGGCGUGCCUAAUACAUGCAAGUCGAGCGAACAGACGAGGAGCUUGCUCCUCUGACGUUAGCGGCGGACGGGUGAGUAACACGUGGAUAACCUACCUAUAAGACUGGGAUAACUUCGGGAAACCGGAGCUAAUACCGGAUAAUAUAUUGAACCGCAUGGUUCAAUAGUGAAAGACGGUUUUGCUGUCACUUAUAGAUGGAUCCGCGCCGCAUUAGAUAGUUGGUAAGGUAACGGCUUACCAAGGCAACGAUGCGUAGCCGACCUGAGAGGGUGAUCGGCCACACUGGAACGGAGACACGGUCCAGACUCCUACGGGAGGCAGCAGUAGGGAAUCUUCCGCAAUGGGCGAAAGCCUGACGGAGCAACGCCGCGUGAGUGAUGAAGGUCUUCGGAUCGGAAAACUCUGUUAUUAGGGAAGAACAAAUGUGUAAGUAACUAUGCACGUCUUGACGGUACCUAAUCAGAAAGCCACGGCUAACUACGUG
RNAcentral lists this ribosomal RNA (497 nucleotides) under uncultured bacterium. Its description in RNAcentral is "partial 16S ribosomal RNA". It matches the Rfam family "Bacterial small subunit ribosomal RNA", at positions 28 to 507 of the family's 1533-position model. The record is from RNAcentral.